AUGAUCUUCAAGCAGGAGCGGGACGACAAGAUAGAAGAUGCAUCCCUGGAAGAAGGUUUCGGCGAGGACGAUCCAUGCACCGGAGCGUUGGCUGACGAUGAUGGUGGUGACUCGGAUGUGGACGACGGAUCUGACAUAAUGUAUGCUGUCGAGGAAGUUGAAUCCGUUGGGGAGGAUCAAAGCAAUGGUGUACGCGGGCAGAGCACUCUUCUUUCAGUUCUCUGUGUGGUGUCCGUCCUGACGCAAGGAAGAAUUCGGGAGUGCAUUAAAAAGUGUGAUGCCAAUGUGUAUGUGAUGCUUUCCGAUUGUCAACCCCAGUUUCUUGUAUAUAUAAGCGUAAAAAGUUUUUCUGCUUUGCCAUCCUGGAUUAGAAUACACAACACUCUGUAA
RNAcentral lists this ribosomal RNA (390 nucleotides) under Triticum aestivum (bread wheat). RNAcentral describes it as "partial small subunit ribosomal RNA". Lineage: Eukaryota; Viridiplantae; Streptophyta; Magnoliopsida; Poales; Poaceae. The record is from RNAcentral.